AUUGAACGCUGGCGGCAGGCCUAACACAUGCAAGUCGAACGGUAACAUUUCUAGCUUGCUAGAAGAUGACGAGUGGCGGACGGGUGAGUAAUGCUUGGGAACUUGCCUUUGCGAGGGGGAUAACAGUUGGAAACGACUGCUAAUACCGCAUAAUGUCUUCGGACCAAACGGGGCUUCGGCUCCGGCGCAAAGAGAGGCCCAAGUGAGAUUAGCUAGUUGGUAAGGUAACGGCUUACCAAGGCGACGAUCUCUAGCUGUUCUGAGAGGAAGAUCAGCCACACUGG
This 284-nucleotide ribosomal RNA is filed under the name uncultured bacterium. RNAcentral's name for it is "partial 16S ribosomal RNA". It matches the Rfam family "Bacterial small subunit ribosomal RNA", at positions 30 to 316 of the family's 1533-position model. The record is from RNAcentral.